UACGGAGGAUCCGAGCGUUAUCCGGAUUUAUUGGGUUUAAAGGGUGCGUAGGCGGCUUUUUAAGUCAGCGGUGAAAUUUUGCAGCUUAACUGUAACAGUGCCGUUGAUACUGGGGAGCUAGGAUUUGGUUGCUGUGGGUGGAAUGUGUGGUGUAGCGGUGAAAUGCUUAGAGAUCACACAGAAUAUCGAUUGCGCAGGCAGCUUACUAAACUACUACUGACGCUCAGGCACGAAGGCGUGGGGAUCAAACAGGAUUAGAUA
RNAcentral lists this ribosomal RNA (261 nucleotides) under uncultured prokaryote. RNAcentral describes it as "partial 16S ribosomal RNA". It matches the Rfam family "Bacterial small subunit ribosomal RNA", at positions 524 to 784 of the family's 1533-position model. The record is from RNAcentral.